UCAGACAUGGUUUGAACACUUAGAAGAUGG
This 30-nucleotide non-coding RNA is filed under the name Rattus norvegicus (Norway rat). Lineage: Eukaryota; Metazoa; Chordata; Mammalia; Rodentia; Muridae. The record is from RNAcentral.